This is a long non-coding RNA of Fukomys damarensis (Damara mole-rat), 308 nucleotides long. RefSeq lists it as uncharacterized. NCBI's taxonomy places the organism in Eukaryota, Metazoa, Chordata, Mammalia, Rodentia, Bathyergidae. The record is from RefSeq and is a predicted model, not a curated record. The transcript is spliced from 3 exons.
GUCUUCAUGCUUGAAAACCCGGCCUGGAUUACGGAAGAGUUCUCUGACUUCUCUUAGUGAAACCUAAAAGAUGUGCUGGUUUGCUCUACCACAUGCUGGCUACCGUAAUGUGUCACCUCACCAUGGACCCAGAAGCAAAGGAACCAAGUGACUAAAACUUGGCUCAAACAAAAAGGUGAAAAGAAGAGCAGGCGUGCUGUUUUAGCCUGGGAGAUGGAAGCUGCCUGUUACAAAUGCCACAGCAGUAAGCAAGAAGGACAUCCUUGUGGUGUCCUUGUGAUUAUGCAGCAGCCUACCUAGUUUGUAUG